RNAcentral lists this ribosomal RNA (253 nucleotides) under uncultured bacterium. RNAcentral's name for it is "partial 16S ribosomal RNA". It matches the Rfam family "Bacterial small subunit ribosomal RNA", at positions 524 to 776 of the family's 1533-position model. The record is from RNAcentral.
GACGAAGGGGGCUAGCGUUGUUCGGAAUUACUGGGCGUAAAGCGAGUGUAGGCGGUUGUCUAAGUUGGAUGUGAAAGCCUUGAGCUCAACUCAAGAAAUGCAUUCAGGACUGGGCGGCUAGAGGACCGGAGAGGAUAGUGGAAUUCCGCGUGUAGUGGUGAAAUGCGUAGAGAUGCGGAAGAACACCAGUGGCGAAGGCGGUCAACUGGCCUGAUAUUGACACUCAGACGCGAAGGCAUGGGUAGCGAACGGG